CGAGGAACCUUCUACAAUGGGCGCAAGCCCGAUAGAGCAACGCCGCGUGGAGGACGACGGCCUUCGGGUUGUAAACUCCUUUCGGGGGGGAUGAAACGGACAGUACCCCCAGAAGCAGCCCCGGCUAACUCUGUGCCAGCAGCCGCGGUAAUACAGAGGGGGCAAGCGUUGUCCGGAUUUACUGGGCGUACAGCGCGCGCAGGCGGCGAGCGAGGUGCCGUGUGACAGCUGGGAGCUCAACUCCCAGCGGCCACGGUAGACCGGCUGGCUGGAGGCAGGGAGAGGGUUGUGGAAUACCCGGUGGAGCGGUGAAAUGCGUAGAGAUCGGGUGGAACACCAGGGGCGCAGGCGGCAACCUGGCCCUGACCUGACGCUGAGGCGCGAGAGCGUGGGGAGCGAACCGG
This 404-nucleotide ribosomal RNA is filed under the name uncultured bacterium. Its description in RNAcentral is "bacterial SSU rRNA". It matches the Rfam family "Bacterial small subunit ribosomal RNA", at positions 355 to 776 of the family's 1533-position model. The record is from RNAcentral.